AAGAAUUAAAUUAACUUAGUGGCGGACGGGCGAGUAACACGUGAGCAACCUGCCUCUUACAGGGGAAUAACAACGGGAAACCGUUGCUAAUACCGCAUAACAUGUUAAAAGGGCAUCCUUUUAACAUCAAAGGAGUAAUCCGGUAAGAGAUGGGCUCGCGUCCGAUUAGCUAGUUGGUAGGGUAACGGCCUACCAAGGCGACGAUCGGUAGACGGACUGAGAGGUCGAACGGCCGCAUUGGGACUGAGACACGGCCCAGACUCCUACGGGAGGCAGCAGCC
Molecule: ribosomal RNA, 281 nt
Filed under: uncultured Acetivibrio sp.
Lineage: Bacteria; Bacillati; Bacillota; Clostridia; Acetivibrionales; Acetivibrionaceae
Description: partial 16S ribosomal RNA
Rfam family: Bacterial small subunit ribosomal RNA
Source: RNAcentral